Molecule: ribosomal RNA, 433 nt
Filed under: uncultured bacterium
Lineage: Bacteria
Description: partial 16S ribosomal RNA
Rfam family: Bacterial small subunit ribosomal RNA
Source: RNAcentral
AACGAACGCUGGCGGCAUGCCUAACACAUGCAAGUCGAACGAGAACUUCGGGCCUAGUGGCGCUCGGCUGCGUAACGCGUGGGAACCUGCCCUUAGGUUCGGAAUAACUCCCUGAAAGGGGUGCUAAUACCGGAUAAUGUCUUCGGACCAAAGAUUUAUUGCCUUUGGAUGGGCCCGGGUUGGAUUCGCUGGUUGGUAGGGUAAAAGCCUACCAAGGCGACGAUCCAUAGCUGGUCUGGGAGGAUGAUCCGCCACACUGGGCCUAAGGAACGGCCCAGACUCCUACGGGAGGGAGCAGAGGGUAAUAUUGGACAGUGGGCGAAAGCCUGAUCCAGCAAUGCCGGGUAAGUGAUGAAGGCCGUAGGGUUGUAAAGCUCUUUUACCCGGGAUGUUAAUGACGGUACCGGGAGAAUAAGCACCGGCUAACUCCGUG